UAGAAAUUUUUUUGGAUUUUUUUUUUUUAAGGGGGACGGAGGGUGAGCGUUUGUUUAGAAAUAGUGGGAAAGCCAAAAGAAAAAAAGCCACCCUUGUACAAAAAAAGGGUACAUAGUCUCACAGUUUCAUGUGUUACAACCACACAGAAGUUUUUACAAGAAUUUACGAGUGAUUCA
Long non-coding RNA from Rhodamnia argentea, 177 nucleotides. RefSeq lists it as uncharacterized. The transcript has 3 exons. The record is from RefSeq and is a predicted model, not a curated record. NCBI's taxonomy places the organism in Eukaryota, Viridiplantae, Streptophyta, Magnoliopsida, Myrtales, Myrtaceae.